RNAcentral lists this ribosomal RNA (199 nucleotides) under Giardia duodenalis. RNAcentral describes it as "Giardia intestinalis partial small subunit ribosomal RNA". The record is from RNAcentral. Lineage: Eukaryota; Fornicata; Diplomonadida; Hexamitidae.
CAUCCGGUCGAUCCUGCCGGAGCGCGACGCUCUCCCCAAGGACGAAGCCAUGCAUGCCCGCUCACCCGGGACGCGGCGGACGGCUCAGGACAACGGUUGCACCCCCCGCGGCGGUCCCUGCUAGCCGGACACCGCUGGCAACCCGGCGCCAAGACGUGCGCGCAAGGACGGGCGCCCGCGGGCGAGCAGCCUGACGCAG